Long non-coding RNA from Zingiber officinale, 727 nucleotides. RefSeq lists it as uncharacterized. The transcript is spliced from 4 exons. NCBI's taxonomy places the organism in Eukaryota, Viridiplantae, Streptophyta, Magnoliopsida, Zingiberales, Zingiberaceae. The record is from RefSeq and is a predicted model, not a curated record.
CCUAAAUUCCGGAAUUUCUCUCCCGAUUUCUUCUCCCUUCGCGUGAGCCUUCUUCUUCCCGACCCUCAAUAGUGACCGGCGAUCUUCCUCUUCUCCUCUCGGCAUCGCCGGCGCAAAGAAACCCCCAAAGCUUUGAGGAAGCAAGCCACCAAUUCUUCUUCCUCUCCUCUCAUUUUCCUCUCUCUCGACUUCUCUCACGCAGGCGAUCCGAUGUCGACGGAGGCGAGUUUUUCCCCGGCGAUCUCAUUCCCUCUGCAUCACCUGCGGUAUGUUGCCGGAUCUCGACAGCACCUGCCAUCUUCACCUGAGAGGUCGUCUUCUCGGUGGGUUCUUGCUCACGAUCGGCCGCUGCUCCGCGGCUAGGGCACGGUGAGGGAGGCGAGAUUCGAGCCCUAAUUGCCUCUUGUGGGUAUCCAGCGCCUCCUCAUCGUCGGAGCUUGGAUCAGGGAGAUCCACUUCACUGGAUUCCAUUUCCCCUUUCUCAUCGACGUUGAUCGGCUACUGACCCUUGUUGUGGACGGACUGCCGAUGCAGAAAUUAGGGUAAGUUGUUCUUGUAGCUGUUGAAGUCUUGGUGAAGUGGUGAAGGUCCAUUUGAGGACUACCUUGGGAGUUAUCGAGCAAAGGUUGUUGGAUUGGGAGCUACUGAAUUUCUGUUAAAACCUCAUGGACUCUAUUUCGAGGCGGGCAUCUAGACGCAGGAUUACUUGACACGAUCUACCUUUUAA